CGAGUGCGUUCAGAGUUUGAUCCUGGCUCAGGACGAACGCUGGCGGCGUGCUUAACACAUGCAAGUCGAACGGUGAAACAGGAGCUUGCUCCUGCGGAUCAGUGGCGAACGGGUGAGUAACACGUGAGUAACCUGCCCCAGACUCUGGGAUAACCAUGAGAAAUCGUGGCUAAUACCGGAUACGAGACGCGUACGCAUGUGCAGCGUCUGGAAAGAUUUAUCGGUCUGGGAUGGACUCGCGGCCUAUCAGCUUGUUGGUGAGGUAACGGCUCACCAAGGCGACGACGGGUAGCCGGCCUGAGAGGGUGAACGGCCACAAGGGGACUGAGACACGGCCCUU
This 340-nucleotide ribosomal RNA is filed under the name uncultured bacterium. RNAcentral's name for it is "bacterial SSU rRNA". It matches the Rfam family "Bacterial small subunit ribosomal RNA", at positions 1 to 334 of the family's 1533-position model. The record is from RNAcentral.